GUUGUCUCAUGGGGACGUAGCCAGAAGAUGCCAUCUAUGAACCAGAGGGUGGGCCCUCAUCAGAUACCAGAUCUUCCAGCAUUUGAUCUUGGACUUGCCAGUCUCCUGAGAUUUGGCCUCUAACUCAUCUAUGAGGAACUGGGGGCCCCUGGCAAGAGAAGAAACUGGUUCCCACUGUCUUGCUGCCAUGAUGCCUGCCCAGAUAUACCACCAUUUACAGUGGGAACACAGCUUAUGCUCUUGAUCUGGAUCUCUUAUGAUGUAAUUUGUUGAGCUAAUAAAUAAUACAUUCAAAAAAGUA
This is a non-coding RNA of Ictidomys tridecemlineatus (thirteen-lined ground squirrel), 301 nucleotides long. The record is from RefSeq and is a predicted model, not a curated record. Lineage: Eukaryota; Metazoa; Chordata; Mammalia; Rodentia; Sciuridae.